This 26-nucleotide non-coding RNA is filed under the name Cricetulus griseus (Chinese hamster). RNAcentral also lists the same sequence under 1 other name. The record is from RNAcentral. Lineage: Eukaryota; Metazoa; Chordata; Mammalia; Rodentia; Cricetidae.
AGGGGCUGGAGAGAUGGCUCAGUGUU